CAACCCGCGAGGCGCGGUCUGGAGGAAGCCGCUAGCAAAGCUGCGAGCUGAUGAACAUCAUAUGAGGCGUAGGCCGGAGGCGAGUUGGCACAAGACGACGAAGCCGCGUGAUCUGACGGCCACCGUAAAUGAUGCAGUUGUGCAGUGAAAGUUCAUGUU
This 159-nucleotide non-coding RNA is filed under the name Marinobacter sp. LV10R520-4. Lineage: Bacteria; Pseudomonadati; Pseudomonadota; Gammaproteobacteria; Pseudomonadales; Marinobacteraceae. The record is from RNAcentral.